UUAGGAAUCUUCCACAAUGGGCGAAAGCCUGAUGGAGCGACGCCGCGUGAGGGAUGAAGGUUUUCGGAUCGUAAACCUCUGAAUCUGGGACGAAAGACGCGUAAGCGGGAUGACGGUACCAGAGUAAUAGCACCGGCUAACUCCGUGCCAGCAGCCGCGGUAAUACGGAGGGUGCAAGCGUUACCCGGAAUCACUGGGCGUAAAGGGCGUGUAGGCGGGAACUUAAGUCUGGUUUUAAAGACUGGGGCUCAACCCCGGGGAUGGACUGGAUACUGGGUUUCUAGACCUCUGGAGAGAUACUCGGAAUUUCUGGUGUAGCGGUGGAAUGCGUAGAUACCAGAAGGAACACCGAUGGCGAAGGCAGAGUAUUGGACAGAAGGUGACGCUGAGGCGCGAAAGUGUGGGGAGCGAACCG
This 415-nucleotide ribosomal RNA is filed under the name uncultured bacterium. RNAcentral describes it as "bacterial SSU rRNA". It matches the Rfam family "Bacterial small subunit ribosomal RNA", at positions 355 to 775 of the family's 1533-position model. The record is from RNAcentral.